GAACGCUGGCGGCAGGCCUAACACAUGCAAGUCGGACGGUAGCACAGGGGAGCUUGCUCCUUGGGUGACGAGUGGCGGACGGGUGAGUAAUGUCUGGGAAACUGCCCGGUGGAGGGGGAUAACUACUGGAAACGGUAGCUAAUACCGCAUAACGUCUUCGGACCAAAGUGGGGGAUCUUAGGGCCUCACGCCACCGGAUGUGCCCAGAUGGGAUUAGCUAGUAGGUGGGGUAACGGCUCACCUAGGCGACGAUCCCUAGCUGGUCUGAGAGGAUGACCAGCCACACUGGAACUGAGACACGGUCC
Molecule: ribosomal RNA, 305 nt
Filed under: uncultured Enterobacter sp.
Lineage: Bacteria; Pseudomonadati; Pseudomonadota; Gammaproteobacteria; Enterobacterales; Enterobacteriaceae
Description: bacterial SSU rRNA
Rfam family: Bacterial small subunit ribosomal RNA
Source: RNAcentral